Molecule: ribosomal RNA, 464 nt
Filed under: uncultured bacterium
Lineage: Bacteria
Description: partial 16S ribosomal RNA
Rfam family: Bacterial small subunit ribosomal RNA
Source: RNAcentral
GACGAACGCUGGCGGCGUGCUUAACACAUGCAAGUCGAACGGAAAGGCCCUGCUUGCAGGGUACUCGAGUGGCGAACGGGUGAGUAACACGUGGGUGAUCUGCCCUGCACUUCGGGAUAAGCCUGGUAAACUGGGUCUAAUACCGGAUAGGAGCCAUUUUUAGUGUGAUGGUUGGAAAGUUUUUUCGGUGUAGGAUGAGCUCGCGGCCUAUCAGCUUGUUGGUGGGGUAAUGGCCUACCAAGGCGGCGACGGGUAGCCGGCCUGAGAGGGUGGACGGCCACAUUGGGACUGAGAUACGGCCCAGACUCCUACGGGAGGCAGCAGUGGGGAAUAUUGCACAAUGGGCGCAAGCCUGAUGCAGCGACGCCGCGUGGGGGAUGACGGCCUUCGGGUUGUAAACUCCUUUCGCUAGGGACGAAGCUUUUGUGACGGUACCUAGAUAAGAAGCACCGGCUAACUACGUG